CCUACGGGUGGCAGCAGUGAGGAAUAUUGGUCAAUGGGCGGGAGACUGAACCAGCCAAGCAGCAUGAAGGAGGAAGGUACUACGAAUUGUAAACUUCUUUUGUAAAGGAAUAAAUACUGGCACGUGUGCCCUUAUGCGUGUACUUGAUGAAUAAGGAUCGGCUAACUCCGUGCCAGCAGCCGCGGUAAUACGGAGGAUUCGAGCGUUAUCCGGAUUUAUUGGGUUUAAAGGGUGCGUAGACGGGUUGUUAAGUCAGACGUGAAAGUUCGGGGCUCAACCCUGAAAUUGCCUUUGAUACUGGCAGUCUUGAGUACAGUUGAGGUAGGCGGAAUGCGUGGUGUAGCGGUGAAAUGCAUAGAUAUCACGAAGAACUCCGAUUGCGAAGGCAGCUUACUAA
RNAcentral lists this ribosomal RNA (397 nucleotides) under uncultured bacterium. RNAcentral describes it as "partial 16S ribosomal RNA". It matches the Rfam family "Bacterial small subunit ribosomal RNA", at positions 338 to 732 of the family's 1533-position model. The record is from RNAcentral.